RNAcentral lists this long non-coding RNA (226 nucleotides) under Elaeis guineensis (African oil palm). RNAcentral's name for it is "long non-coding RNA (EGUI_LNC053907)". The record is from RNAcentral. Lineage: Eukaryota; Viridiplantae; Streptophyta; Magnoliopsida; Arecales; Arecaceae.
CCUACUGAAUAAAAGGUAUUUGUUAGUAGGCAUGCUACUUUCUUAGAAAAUAAAUUCAUUCAAGGAGGUAGUGGAAGAAAUAUUAGACUUGGAAAAGUUCAGGACCUACAAACCAAUCCAAAAAUGCCCAUGGUUGGACCACAAGGAGAUCGUCAAUCAGAAGUAUCCAAAGAUGAGGUACAUCCAUAAUACACAUCUCCUCUCCGAAGGUCAGAUAGAGUACGCC